AUUGAACGCUGGCGGCAGGCCUAACACAUGCAAGUCGAGCGCGCGGCGGACGGGUGAGUAAUGUCUGGGAAACUGCCUGAUGGAGGGGGAUAACUACUGGAAACGGUAGCUAAUACCGCAUACCCUCAGAUGUGCCCAUAUGGGAUUAGCUAGUAGGUGGGGUAACGGCUCACCUAGGCGACGAUCCCUAGCUGGUCUGAGAGGAUGACCAGCAAAACUGGAACUGAGAAACGGUCCAGACUCCUACGGGAGGCAGCAGUGGGGAAUAUUGCACAAGGGGCGCAAGCCUGAUGCAGCCAUGCCGGGUGUGUGAAGAAGGCCUUCGGGUUGUAAAGCACUUUCAGCGGGGAGGCGUUACCCGCAGAAGAAGCACCGGCUAACUCCGUGCCAGCAGCCGCGGUAAUAC
This 406-nucleotide ribosomal RNA is filed under the name uncultured bacterium. RNAcentral's name for it is "partial 16S ribosomal RNA". It matches the Rfam family "Bacterial small subunit ribosomal RNA", at positions 30 to 526 of the family's 1533-position model. The record is from RNAcentral.